RNAcentral lists this ribosomal RNA (253 nucleotides) under uncultured bacterium. Its description in RNAcentral is "partial 16S ribosomal RNA". It matches the Rfam family "Bacterial small subunit ribosomal RNA", at positions 524 to 776 of the family's 1533-position model. The record is from RNAcentral.
UACGUAGGGUGCAAGCGUUAAUCGGAAUUACUGGGCGUAAAGCGUGCGCAGGCGGUUUUGUAAGUCAGAUGUGAAAUCCCCGGGCUUAACCUGGGAACUGCGUUUGAAACUACAAGGCUAGAGUGUGGCAGAGGGGGGUGGAAUUCCACGUGUAGCGGUGAAAUGCGUAGAGAUGUGGAGGAACACCGAUGGCGAAGGCAGCCUUCUGGGCCAACACUGACGCUCAUGCACGAAAGCGUGGGGAGCAAACAGG